CCAGAGAACUUAGCAGAGAUGCUUUGGUGCCUUCGGGAACUCUGAGACAGGUGCUGCAUGGCUGUCGUCAGCUCGUGUUGUGAAAUGUUGGGUUAAGUCCCGCAACGAGCGCAACCCUUAUCCUUUGUUGCCAGCGGUCCGGCCGGGAACUCAAAGGAGACUGCCAGUGAUAAACUGGAGGAAGGUGGGGAUGACGUCAAGUCAUCAUGGCCCUUACGAGUAGGGCUACACACGUGCUACAAUGGCGCAUACAAAGAGAAGCGACCUCGCGAGAGCAAGCGGACCUCAUAAAGUGCGUCGUAGUCCGGAUUGGAGUCUGCAACUCGACUCCAUGAAGUCGGAAUCGCUAGUAAUCGUAGACCAGAAUGCUACGGUGAAUACGUUCCCGGGCCUUGUACACACCGCCCGUCACACCAUGGGAGUGGGUUGACAAAAGAAGUAGGUAGCUUAACCUUCGGGAGGGCGCUUACCUACUUUGUGAUUCAUGACUGGGGUGAAGUCGUAACAAGGUAAGCGUAGCGAG
RNAcentral lists this ribosomal RNA (523 nucleotides) under uncultured bacterium. RNAcentral describes it as "bacterial SSU rRNA". It matches the Rfam family "Bacterial small subunit ribosomal RNA", at positions 988 to 1509 of the family's 1533-position model. The record is from RNAcentral.